AUUAAUACCGCAUACGCCCUGAGGGGGAAAGUGGGGGACCGUAAGGCCUCCCGUUAUACGAGCAGCCGAUGUCUGAUUAGCUAGUUGGUGGGGUAAAGGCUCACCAAGGCAACGAUCAGUAGCGGGUCUGAGAGGAUGAUCCGCCACACUGGGACUGAGACACGGCCCAGACUCCUACGGGAGGCAGCAGUGGGGAAUUUUGGACAAUGGGCGCAAGCCUAAUCCGGCCAUGCCGCGCGUCUGAAGAAGGCCUUCGGGUUGUAAAGGACUUUUGUUCGGGAGGAAAUCCCGCUGGUUAAUACCUGGCGGGGAUGACAGUACCGGAAGAAUAAGCACCGGCUAACUACGUGCCAGCAGCCGCGGUAAUACGUAGGGUGCAAGCGUUAAUCGGAAUUACUGGGCGUAAAGCGUGCGCAGGCGGUUGUGCAAGUCUGAUGUGAAAGCCCCGGGCUUAACCUGGGAACGGCAUUGGAGACUGCACGACUAGAGUGCGUCAGAGGGGGGUAGAAUUCCACGUGUAGCAGUGAAAUG
RNAcentral lists this ribosomal RNA (531 nucleotides) under uncultured bacterium. RNAcentral describes it as "bacterial SSU rRNA". It matches the Rfam family "Bacterial small subunit ribosomal RNA", at positions 162 to 688 of the family's 1533-position model. The record is from RNAcentral.